This 615-nucleotide ribosomal RNA is filed under the name Mucor hiemalis. RNAcentral describes it as "eukaryotic LSU rRNA". The stretch from base 243 to 395 matches the Rfam family "5.8S ribosomal RNA". The record is from RNAcentral. Lineage: Eukaryota; Fungi; Mucoromycota; Mucoromycetes; Mucorales; Mucoraceae.
CUGCGGAAGGAUCAUUAAAUAAUUUAGAUGGCCUUUGCUAGUUUUCUAGCGAAUGGUUCAUUCUUUUUUACUGUGAACUGUUUUAAUUUUUCAGCGUCUGAGGAAUGUCUUUUAGCCAUAGGGAUAGGCUACUAGAAUGUUAACCGAGCUGAAAGUCAGGCUUAGGCCUGGUAUCCUAUUAAUUAUUUACCAAAAGAAUUCAGUAUUAUAAUUGUAACAUAAGCGUAAAAAACUUAUAAAACAACUUUUAACAACGGAUCUCUUGGUUCUCGCAUCGAUGAAGAACGUAGCAAAGUGCGAUAACUAGUGUGAAUUGCAUAUUCAGUGAAUCAUCGAGUCUUUGAACGCAACUUGCGCUCAAUGGUAUUCCAUUGAGCACGCCUGUUUCAGUAUCAAAAACACCCCACAUUCAUAAUUUUGUUGUGAAUGGAAAUGAGAGUUUCGGCUUUAUUGCUGAAUUCUUUAAAAUUAUUAGGCCUGAACUAUUGUUCUUUCUGCCUGAACAUUUUUUUAAUAUAAAGGAAUGCUCUAGUAAAAAGACUAUCUCUGGGGCCUCCCAAAUAAAUCAUUCUUAAAUUUGAUCUGAAAUCAGGCGGGAUUACCCGCUGAACUUAA